Molecule: long non-coding RNA, 210 nt
Filed under: Pan troglodytes (chimpanzee)
Lineage: Eukaryota; Metazoa; Chordata; Mammalia; Primates; Hominidae
Description: long non-coding RNA NONPTRT004762
Source: RNAcentral
CAGCAGAAGAACGUUGGGCCAGAAAAAAGCAUUGAGCUUGAGGGACUAGACUAAUCAAAAAAUGGAAUAACAUGGCAACAAUUACACUGAUGAGUGAGAGGGAAGCUACGGAUGCAUUCAGACACCUAUGGCACCACAGACUCAACGCAUUCAGCAUUUUGUGUUUAGUGUCUUGUGUUUUUGAGAGCAGGAACUGAUAACCUCUCCUCA